Molecule: ribosomal RNA, 355 nt
Filed under: Busseola sp. BUTAG3219
Lineage: Eukaryota; Metazoa; Arthropoda; Insecta; Lepidoptera; Noctuidae
Description: partial 12S small subunit ribosomal RNA
Source: RNAcentral
AAAAAAUAAAAUUAAAAUACUAAAAUAGUAUUUAAAUAAAUAUUUAUUGAAACUUAAAUAAUUUGGCGGUAUUUUAGUUCAUUUAGAGGAAUCUGUUUAAUAAUUGAUAUUCCACGAAUAAAUUUACUUAAUUUAUAAUUUUGUAUAUCGUUGUUAUAAAAAUAUUUUUUAAUGAGAUUAAUAUUUAAAAUUUAAUAUAUAAAUUUAAAUCAGAUCAAGAUGCAGAUUAUAAUUAAGAAUAUAAUGGAUUACAAUAAAUUUAUUUAAAUGAAUUUUAAUUUGUAAAAAUUAAUUGAAGGUGGAUUUAAAUGUAAUUUUAUUUAAUUUAAUAAAAUGAUUAAAAAUUAAAAUAUGU